RNAcentral lists this ribosomal RNA (492 nucleotides) under uncultured bacterium. RNAcentral describes it as "partial 16S ribosomal RNA". It matches the Rfam family "Bacterial small subunit ribosomal RNA", at positions 29 to 507 of the family's 1533-position model. The record is from RNAcentral.
AGUGAACGCUGGCGGUAGGCCUAACACAUGCCAGUCGAACGGCAGCACAGUAAGAGCUUGCUCUUACGGGUGGCGAGUGGCGGACGGGUGAGGAAUACAUCGGAAUCUACUUUUUCGUGAGGGAUAACGUAGGGAAACUUACGCUAAUACCGCAUACGACCUACGGGUGAAAGCAGGGGAUCUUCGGACCUUGCGCGAUUGAAUGAGCCGAUGUCGGAUUAGCUAGUUGGCGGGGUAAAGGCCCACCAAGGCGACGAUCCGUAGCUGGUCUGAGAGGAUGAGCAGCCAGACUGGAACUGAGACACGGUCCAGACUCGUACGGGAGGCAGCAGUGGGGAAUAUUGGACUGUGGGCUCAAGCCUGAUCCAACCAUGCCGCGUGGGUGAAGAAGGCCUUCGGGUUGUGUAGCACUUUUGUUUGGAAAGAAAAGCAGCAGGGUAAUACCCCGCUGUUCUGACGGUACCCGAAGAAGAAGCACCGGCUAACUUCGUG